RNAcentral lists this ribosomal RNA (663 nucleotides) under uncultured Bacteroidota bacterium. RNAcentral describes it as "bacterial SSU rRNA". It matches the Rfam family "Bacterial small subunit ribosomal RNA", at positions 196 to 863 of the family's 1533-position model. The record is from RNAcentral. Lineage: Bacteria; Pseudomonadati; Bacteroidota.
GUAGCUUAAAGAUUUAUCGGUAAAAGAUGGGCAUGCGUCUGAUUAGCUAGUUGGCGGGGUAACGGCCCACCAAGGCGACGAUCAGUAGGGGUUCUGAGAGGAAGGUCCCCCACACUGGCACUGAGAUACGGGCCAGACUCCUACGGGAGGCAGCAGUAGGGAAUAUUGGGCAAUGGUCGCAAGACUGACCCAGCCAUGCCGCGUGCAGGAAGACGGCCCUCUGGGUUGUAAACUGCUUUUAUCUGGGAAGAAAAAGUCCAUGCGUGGAAAAUUGCCGGUACCAGAUGAAUAAGCACCGGCUAACUCCGUGCCAGCAGCCGCGGUAAUACGGAGGGUACAAGCGUUGUCCGGAUUUAUUGGGUUUAAAGGGUGCGUAGGCGGCUGAAUAAGUCAGCGGUGAAAGACUUCGGCUUAACCGGAGCAGUGCCGUUGAUACUGUUUGGCUUGAGUGUUGGAGGGGUACAUGGAAUUGAUGGUGUAGCGGUGAAAUGCAUAGAUACCAUCAGGAACACCGAUAGCGAAGGCAUUGUACUGGCCAACAACUGACGCUGAGGCACGAAAGUGUGGGGAUCGAACAGGAUUAGAUACCCUGGUAGUCCACACUGUAAACGAUGAUUACUCGCUGUUAUGGUGUAUACUGUAGCGGCCCAGCGAAAGCGUUAA